Molecule: long non-coding RNA, 2401 nt
Organism: Dermacentor andersoni
Lineage: Eukaryota; Metazoa; Arthropoda; Arachnida; Ixodida; Ixodidae
Source: RefSeq, a predicted model, not a curated record
AAGGUGACGGUGGCGCCAUCCGGAUUUUCAAUAAAGAAUGUGUCGGCGCGGAGCCGUCGUUGGACCCACUCUCCCAAUCUAGUACAUUCUACAAACUGGGAUACAUAGCGCAAGAAUGACACAAGGACGAAGCAGGAACACGGGAUGAGUGCUAACUUUCAGCAAUUGAUUUAUUGCAGCUAAUGAGCAUAUAUAUACUCACUGGGACGCCACUGCAACAGACACACUGAAGGGAAGGAGAAAAAGCAGUCAUGUGACUGCAUGUGACUGAGCAGCGUUCUACUUCAGCGGCGACUGCGUAUCGCGCGGCCGAGCGUGGCUGCACUCUGGCCCCAUAUUGAAAGCAAUCUGCAGUGGGUAGAGUCUAGGCGCGCUGAGGGCUGAUGACUUUGUGUGCGCUGUGUUCUCGCCACUUAGUUCGCGUUGAAACGAGAGGAAGCACGAAGGGCGAUUUGCUCACUGCUGCUGUCACUCUUCCUUACGCCAACGUUUUGAUAGCGAGUGUCCGCGGUCAUCCAGUGACGUAUGGUGAGAAGUACAAAGGAGGAACAAGAACUUAUCAAAGAAGUACAAGCACUUUAUCAGCAAGAAACAGGCAAGCAAUGAAGAUGGGCGUUUAGUUGGAUAAUGAGGGCCCCAAAUGAAUACAACGAAAGCAAUAUUGUGAAGUCUGAGCAUGAACAGAUAUGCCACAAGUGCAUUAAAAAAGACAGUUAAGCACAACGCUCAGACGCGCUACCACACGUCAUCCUCAUGGCACAUGUUCAGUGUGUUGUAUGUGUUGUAUACUUAGUUCUAGUUUCUGUUUAAACUCUAUCACGCCUUCGUAAUCAUGUGUAGAUACGUCAUAUUUUGAAAUAAUAAAAAGAAUGAAUGCUGCCAAGUUUGGGUAGGCAAAAUCGGAGAAGGUGUUGCGGUUGUCAACUGAUGCACACACAAGUGUGCUGUUCAUGAAGCUACCUCGGACGUGGCUGUGCACUAGAGAACUGUGCCUGCAUACAGUAGCUAGAUAGCUGUCAUUACCAUGUGCAAUCACUCAGUGAGCAUCAGAGCUGCUAUUGAUUUGUUUUAGUCAAUGAGCCAUCAGAAAUUGUCCUCACCGAGGCUGAGCUGGUCAGACCAAGACGAAUGACAAACCAAGUUGUCAAUCAUCUUCCAUAAGUUACAAUGUAUUCAAUACUACGAAGAACUGCCUCUGUAAAGCUGCAUAGUAUACAGUUAGAGUUACCAGCACCCAAAUAUGUCUGUUGGUUCAAGACCACACAGGAAAACGAGUGCAAUGCACAAAACAAAUAAACAGUGAAAGCCUUUGCUUUUUGAUGUAGCACGCCAUCACAACAGUGUGUUUUAGAAAUAGAUGAGAGUACUCUAAAAAAAAGAGAACCCAAGAAACAGCAUCUAUGUGGCACUGUGCAUGCUCGGAACAUAAACUACAGUGAUAAUUAGCACAGAGUGAAUUUGGGUUCACCAAUGUCUGAAGGAGCACAUGUAAUACUUCUGGUGAAAAAAACAUGGGUGCAUCAGUGCGACACAUCUCAGUAAUGAGCACAAUAGGGUUCUACUAAUUUAACCUAGCUUGCUUUUGUCCAGUAUUAUAAAUGGCUCUCUUCAUUUGCAAAUAAUUACUGAGCCUUUUGCUUUUUCAGGAGAGACUACAGAUGCAACUUUCCAAGAGCACGACAUUCCACAAAAUUGAGAAAAUAUGGCAUAAUGAUGUCAGACUGACAAAAUUGUUUUUUGAAAACUUUAAUAGAGGUCUAAAAAUCCAGCAAUACAAAUUCAAGACCAACGAAAAGAGCUAGGUUUCAUGUGUUGAGUGUGGAGUACCUUUAAUGCCCAUGCUGAUUUUGCUGUGUACCAAGAGUAUACAUUAAAUUUAAGAAUCUGUAAAUUCUUUAGCCUCCCUAAAAAAGUAUAUUGAAUAAACACACAUACAAUUGUAUAGCAGGUUCACACUCAAUGACAGCAAUACUGCAAAUAUGACUCCUAGACAACAGUGCCGCAAACUUAUGUUGACUUAUAAGUGCUCUGCGCAAGCAGAACUAAGUUCAGUUUGAGCAAUACCAUGGAAGUAAUACGCACAAUAAUUUUCACAAUGCAAGACCAUGGUGCCAGCAUCGAAAAUGGAAAAGAUAUAGAGCUGCACGUCAAACCGUGUACACCCAAUAACAUUUCACUAAUGAUCACAUGCCAGACAUUCAAAUAACAGAGCAAGUGCAAGCAAGGAUUGCUAACAUCAUCAACUAGCACAGUAUUCAAGUGCUGCAACCAUGCAAGAACAUCCACAGCUGAGGGAGAAUACUGAAUGUUCAGAUACUAUGUAUCUAAUAUAGUCCAUAGUCCAUGACUUCAUUUCUAAAUUUCAUUCAGUAAAACGUGACAAUUCUGUACAUAAAUGCUG